Molecule: ribosomal RNA, 477 nt
Filed under: Klebsiella aerogenes
Lineage: Bacteria; Pseudomonadati; Pseudomonadota; Gammaproteobacteria; Enterobacterales; Enterobacteriaceae
Description: bacterial SSU rRNA
Rfam family: Bacterial small subunit ribosomal RNA
Source: RNAcentral
CAAGUCGACGGUAGCACAGAGAGCUUGCUCUCGGGUGACGAGUGGCGGACGGGUGAGUAAUGUCUGGGAAACUGCCUGAUGGAGGGGGAUAACUACUGGAAACGGUAGCUAAUACCGCAUAACGUCGCAAGACCAAAGAGGGGGACCUUCGGGCCUCUUGCCAUCAGAUGUGCCCAGAUGGGAUUAGCUAGUAGGUGGGGUAACGGCUCACCUAGGCGACGAUCCCUAGCUGGUCUGAGAGGAUGACCAGCCACACUGGAACUGAGACACGGUCCAGACUCCUACGGGAGGCAGCAGUGGGGAAUAUUGCACAAUGGGCGCAAGCCUGAUGCAGCCAUGCCGCGUGUAUGAAGAAGGCCUUCGGGUUGUAAAGUACUUUCAGCGGGGAGGAAGGCGAUAAGGUUAAUAACCUUGUCGAUUGACGUUACCCGCAGAAGAAGCACCGGCUAACUCCGUGCCAGCAGCCGCGGUAAUACG